Molecule: ribosomal RNA, 253 nt
Filed under: uncultured bacterium
Lineage: Bacteria
Description: partial 16S ribosomal RNA
Rfam family: Bacterial small subunit ribosomal RNA
Source: RNAcentral
GACGAACCGUCCAAACGUUAGUCGGAAUUACUGGGCUUAAAGGGUGCGUAGGCGGCCUGACAAGUUGGGUGUGAAAUACCUCGGCUCAACCGAGGAACAGCGCUCAAAACUGUCAGGCUUGAGGGAGAUAGAGGUGAGCGGAACUUAAGGUGGAGCGGUGAAAUGCGUUGAUAUCUUAAGGAACACCCGUGGCGAAAGCGGCUCACUGGAUCUCUUCUGACGCUCAUGCACGAAAGCUAGGGGAGCAAACGGG